UCUGGGAUUAGAUACCCCACUAUGCCAAAUAGUAAACUUUAACUUACGCCGAAAUCGCCAGGGAACUACGAGCUAAGCUUAAAACCCAAAGGACUUGACGGUACCCUACAUCCUUCUAGAGGAGCCUGUCCUAUAAUUGAUAACCCCCGUUUAACCUCACCUCUUCUAGCCGAUCAGCCUGUAUACUUCCGUCGUCAGCUUACCGCAUGAGCGCCCCUCAGUGAGCCCAAUGUUUUUACUACAAUACGUCAGGUCAAAGUGCAGCAAAUGAAGAGGGAAGAGAUGGGCUACACUUUCUACAAUAGAAGAUACGAAAGAUUAUUGUGAAACCUUAAUCAGAAGGUGGAUUUAGUAGUAAAAAGAAGAUAGAGUAUUCUUUUUAAUUUGGCACUAGGGUGCGUACACACCGCCCGUCACCCUCCUCAA
This 426-nucleotide ribosomal RNA is filed under the name Oreobates remotus. Its description in RNAcentral is "partial 12S ribosomal RNA". It matches the Rfam family "Bacterial small subunit ribosomal RNA", at positions 771 to 1409 of the family's 1533-position model. The record is from RNAcentral. Lineage: Eukaryota; Metazoa; Chordata; Amphibia; Anura; Strabomantidae.